Long non-coding RNA from Myxocyprinus asiaticus (Chinese sucker), 1267 nucleotides. RefSeq lists it as uncharacterized. The transcript is spliced from 3 exons. NCBI's taxonomy places the organism in Eukaryota, Metazoa, Chordata, Actinopteri, Cypriniformes, Catostomidae. The record is from RefSeq and is a predicted model, not a curated record.
UUUACCAGAGGUGUAUCCUUGUACAUCCUGCUUUCACUCCAAGUCAGCAAACAGUGUCUUGCUAAGUGUUAAGUAGUUUAAUAACCUAAUUUGCAUCAUUUGCACUUCAAACUAGUUUGAACACUUGUUGACUGUUGAUUUUUAUAUUUAGAAACUUUGCACUGAACACUGUAGUCAUGAAAUAUCUCAGAAUCAAAAAGUGAUCAAGUAUGACUAAUGUUUGAAGUAAUUACCACAAACUGAUUCAAUUACUAAUGUCCUAACGGGUUAAUUCACUCAAGAAUAAAAUAAUUUACUCACCCUCGUGUUGUUUUAAACACGUUUGACUUUUGUUCUUCUGUGAAACACAGAAUGAGUUUUUAGGCAGAAUGUCAUAAUUCACUUUCAUUGCAUCUUUUUCCCCAUAUAAUGAAAGUGAAUGGUGACUGAGGCUGUCAUUCUGCCUAAAAUCUUUAAAAAAAAAAGUCAUACAUGCUUUAAAAAAACAUUAGGGUGUGUGAGUAUAUGAUGACAGAAUUUAAAUAACUUCAGGUGAAUUCUGUUUUUGUGCUUUAUUUUUACUGUGGUCUUGUUAUUUUUCUUAAGUCAUAAGCUUAGCCAAAAUAAACCAGAUUACAGGUCAAGACGCUCGACUGCCAUGUGUCAAGUGUCGUUUUAUGGUCUCAUGAUAUUCUGAUAAGGGAGUUAAAAUUGUUAUACACUAGGAUGAAAGUUUCUGUACAUUUGGCAGUGUCAAUGUUUGGUGUAUUUACAAUCUUGUUUACAUUUCUGAAACUAAGUGCUGCAUAUGGUCUUUUUUGAGUCAUCCUAAAAACACACAUACUGUCUUCCACCCUUGUUUGUAAUGUAAUCAUUCAGCAACAGAAAGUCAAACAGACAUUCACGGAGGAAAUAAAUUCACUGUCUCGUCUUCUCUGUCUCCUUGGAUGGAGUGGGUUACAGUCACUUACAACAUCAUCAGGCGUAUUGUGGACCUUCAUUUAUUUUUCCUAGUGAAUAAAUUUGACUUUGGCAACCAUUUUUUUAACUGGAUUUUUACAGGACUUUUUAAACAAAUUGAAUGAAGCAUUCUUUCCUGAAUUCCUUCAGAAAGAAUGGAGCGAGAUAAAGACAGCUCUGGACCACCAGGUAAAAAGGUGUUUGGAAUAAAAGUGAAGAAGAAACAAAGAAAAGGCAACAAGGGUCUUGUAAUCUCUAACAAAGGUGCUCUAGAGGCUGAGCUUGAAACAAAUCCCGAUGACCCUGAUGUGUUCGAUGUACCACACCC